GACGAACGCUGGCGGCGUGCUUAACACAUGCAAGUCGAACGGAGCUGUUUAUUUCGGUAGAUAGCUUAGUGGCAAACGGGUGAGUAACGCGUAGGCAACCUGCCCUUAGGAUGGGGACAACGGCCCGAAAGGACCGCUAAUACCGAAUGGACUCUAACUUUCGCAUGAAAGAAAGAGGAAAGAUGGUGCAAGCCAUCGCCGAAGGAAGGGCCUGCGUCUGAUUAGCCAGUUGGUGAGGUAACGGCCCACCAAAGCGACGAUCAGUAGCCGGUCUGAGAGGAUGAACGGCCACAAUGGGACUGAGACACGGCCCAUACUCCUACGGGAGGCAGCAGUGGGGAAUCUUCCGCAAUGGGCGCAAGCCUGACGGAGCAACGCCGCGUGAGUGAAGAAGGUCUUCGGAUCGUAAAGCUCUGUUGUUGGGGACGAAAGGGUAGACGAGGCA
Molecule: ribosomal RNA, 445 nt
Filed under: Veillonellaceae bacterium oral taxon 132
Lineage: Bacteria; Bacillati; Bacillota; Negativicutes; Veillonellales; Veillonellaceae
Description: bacterial SSU rRNA
Rfam family: Bacterial small subunit ribosomal RNA
Source: RNAcentral